CCUACGGGAGGCUGCAGUGAGGAAUAUUGGUCAAUGGACGAGAGUCUGAACCAGCCAAGUAGCGUGAAGGAUGACUGCCCUAUGGGUUGUAAACUUCUUUUAUAUGGGAAUAAAAUGUUCCACGUGUGGGAUUUUGUAUGUACCAUAUGAAUAAGGAUCGGCUAACUCCGUGCCAGCAGCCGCGGUAAUACGGAGGAUCCGAGCGUUAUCCGGAUUUAUUGGGGUUAAAGGGGGCGUAGGUGGAUUGUUAAGUCAGUUGUGAAAGUUUGGGGCUCAACCGUAAAAUUGCAGUUGAAACUGGCAGUCUGGAGGACAGUAGAGGUGGGCGGAAGUCGUGGUGUAGCGGUGAAAUGCUUAGAUAUCACGAAGAACUCCGAUUGCGAAGGCAGCUCACUGGACUGCAACUGACACUGAGGCUCGAAAGUGUGGGUAUCAAACAGGAUUAGAUACCCCUGUAGUC
This 460-nucleotide ribosomal RNA is filed under the name uncultured bacterium. Its description in RNAcentral is "partial 16S ribosomal RNA". It matches the Rfam family "Bacterial small subunit ribosomal RNA", at positions 338 to 795 of the family's 1533-position model. The record is from RNAcentral.